GUGUCAGCAGCCGCGGUAAUACGAAGGGGGCUAGCGUUGUUCGGAAUUACUGGGCGUAAAGCGCGUGUAGGCGGGUCCUUAAGUCAGGGGUGAAAUGCCGAGGCUCAACCUCGGAACUGCCUUUGAUACUGGGGAUCUUGAGUCCGGGAGAGGUGAGUGGAACUGCGAGUGUAGAGGUGAAAUUCGUAGAUAUUCGCAAGAACACCAGUGGCGAAGGCGGCUCACUGGCCCGGAACUGACGCUGAGACGCGAAAGCGUGGGGAGCAAACAGGAUUAGAUACCCUGGUAGUCCACGCUGUAAACGAUGGAUGCUAGCCGUUGGGGAGCUUGCUCUUCAGUGGCGCAGCUAACGCUUUAAGCAUCCCGCCUGGGGAGUACGGUCGCAAGAUUAAA
This 393-nucleotide ribosomal RNA is filed under the name uncultured bacterium. RNAcentral's name for it is "bacterial SSU rRNA". It matches the Rfam family "Bacterial small subunit ribosomal RNA", at positions 505 to 898 of the family's 1533-position model. The record is from RNAcentral.